GAGAUAUUCUUGUGGUUAAUGAU
This 23-nucleotide non-coding RNA is filed under the name Arabidopsis thaliana (thale cress). The record is from RNAcentral. Lineage: Eukaryota; Viridiplantae; Streptophyta; Magnoliopsida; Brassicales; Brassicaceae.